GACGAACGCUGGCGGCGUGCUUAACACAUGCAAGUCGAACGGAAAGGCCCUGCUUUUGUGGGGUGCUCGAGUGGCGAACGGGUGAGUAACACGUGAGUAACCUGCCCUUGACUUUGGGAUAACUUCAGGAAACUGGGGCUAAUACCGGAUAGGAGCUCCUGCUGCAUGGUGGGGGUUGGAAAGUUUCGGCGGUUGGGGAUGGACUCGCGGCUUAUCAGCUUGUUGGUGGGGUAGUGGCUUACCAAGGCUUUGACGGGUAGCCGGCCUGAGAGGGUGACCGGCCACCUUGGGACUGAGAUACGGCCCCGACUCCUUCGGGAGGCAGCAGUGGGGAAUAUUGCACAAUGGGCGGAAGCCUGAUGCAGCAACGCCGCGUGCGGGAUGACGGCCUUCGGGUUGUAAACCGCUUUCGCCUGUGACGAAGCGUGAGUGACGGUAAUGGGUAAAGAAGCACCGGCUAACUACGUG
This 468-nucleotide ribosomal RNA is filed under the name uncultured bacterium. Its description in RNAcentral is "partial 16S ribosomal RNA". It matches the Rfam family "Bacterial small subunit ribosomal RNA", at positions 28 to 507 of the family's 1533-position model. The record is from RNAcentral.